RNAcentral lists this transfer-messenger RNA (371 nucleotides) under bovine gut metagenome. It matches the Rfam family "transfer-messenger RNA". Rfam says of the family: Bacterial tmRNA, also known as 10Sa RNA or SsrA, is named for its dual tRNA and mRNA-like properties. Its role is to liberate the mRNA from a stalled ribosome. The record is from RNAcentral.
GGGGGCGUCCUGGCUUCGACGGGGAUCUUGAGGUUCGAUAAGCGGGUAGAGUUUGAGGAAACUCUUAAAUAAGCCUCAACUUAAAUUUAAACGCUAACGAUAGAGUAGCUCUGGCAGCCGCCUGACGGCUGUGCCGCCGCAUAUAAUGCGGCCCGUCUUACCGCGGAGUUCCGCUACCGCGGAUAAGACGUCAUUUUGCGGAGAACGUGAACGGCGAGUUUGACUUUGUAACCGUCACGCACUAAAAGCCUACCGUACCGCCGCCCCGACUGUCGGACGACGGCGCGGGAAACUCAAAAGGCAGCCUGCACCCGGAGAAAGUCGUGUCAACGGAUUUUCGGACACGGGUUCGAUUCCCGUCGCCUCCACCA